Molecule: ribosomal RNA, 255 nt
Filed under: uncultured bacterium
Lineage: Bacteria
Description: partial 16S ribosomal RNA
Rfam family: Bacterial small subunit ribosomal RNA
Source: RNAcentral
GACGAACCGUCCAAACGUUAUUCGGAAUCACUGGGCUUACAGAGUUCGUAGGCGGUCUGGAAAGUUGGGUGUGAAAUCCCCUCGGCCUAACCGAGGAACUGCGCUUGAAAACUACCAGACUCGAGGGAGAUAGAGGAAAGCGGAACUGAUGGUGGAGCGGUGAAAUGCGUUGAUAUCAUCAGGAACACCGGUGGCGAAGGCGGCUUUCUGGGUCUUACCUGACGCUGAGGAGCGAAAGCGUGGGGAGCGAACAGG